RNAcentral lists this long non-coding RNA (17929 nucleotides) under Medicago truncatula (barrel medic). Its description in RNAcentral is "long non-coding RNA (MTRU_LNC008229)". The record is from RNAcentral. Lineage: Eukaryota; Viridiplantae; Streptophyta; Magnoliopsida; Fabales; Fabaceae.
AUUUCUCUUUUCAUUUUCUUCUUGUAUAUUGAUCCUUUUUAACUAUCUUGAUAUAUAUCAUGGGUGUUUUUACUUUCAACGAUGAACAUGUCUCAACCGUGGCUCCAGCUAAACUCUACAAAGCUCUUGCAAAAGAUGCUGAUGAAAUAGUCCCAAAGGUGAUUUCUGCUGCCCAAAGUGUUGAAAUUGUUGAAGGAAAUGGUGGACCUGGCACCAUCAAAAAGUUAUCCAUGUCUGAAGGUAAUUCAUUAAGAGCAUUUACUAUAUCCCUGUCAAAAAAAUACAACUUUAUUAAUUAGUAAUUCAAUAGACAUGUUAAGAAAUCAUAUACUCACUUUUAUUUUUGAAUUAGAUUUUGAGUGUUGAAGGAGACCAAUGAUAAUACAUAAACUGAGUCUAUAUAUAAAUAAUAAGCUUCAAGAAACAACUAAUUUCCAUGGAAAAAGAAUAUAUAAGAUACUUCAUGCAAGAUUCAAGAGAACCACUAAACUGGAGACAGGGCCGGCCUAAGGACCAAACAACCUAAACAAGGGUUUUAGGCUUCAAAACUUUUGGUAAAAAAAAAGGUCUUUAAAAAAUUAAUUUGGUCAUAAGUAUAUUAUAUGACAGAUAAAUUACAGACAUUUGAAUAGCUUAACUGAUCAAAAAGGUUUUAAUUACUCAUGGUCAUGAAUUCAAAUUUUGGUCUCCACGCAAUUGCUUUUAUAUAAAUAUUCUAUUAAAAAAAUAAUUUCAAAGGCCACAUUAAAUUUUUUGAUUUAAGCCUCUUAAUCUGUUGGGUCGGCCAUGGCAGGAGAUCCAACUAUUUGUAUAAACUACAGUCGUUGAAAUGUAACUAUUGUGAGAGUGUUGCUUGUUUUCAUUAUAUAUAGUAGUUAUAUAUUCAAAUGAAAUGAAUGAUCAAAUUAACACUAAAAUUUAGUUAAAAUCAUUUCAAAUAUCAAUAUAUUAUUGUCAAGAUUAAAUUAUGUAAUUUUAUAUGAUUUCAACCUAAUGGUAAAGAGUGGUUAUAAUAUAUCCAGAUUAAUUGUAAAUAGACUCGUAUUCAAUAAUUAUAGUAAUUAAGAUCAACUUUUUAAUCAGCCCAAUAAAAUGUGUGGUCUACAACUAUAAGAUUCACACAAUAUUAUAGUAAAAUAGACUUAACAAUCAAGUGAUUAAAUAUAUCCAGUUACAUUAGAAUUGAUCUAUGACAAAAACAAUUUUUAGUCGAACUUUACUUUCAUUUUGAGGGAACCAACUUAUAUAAAUUAUGAUGGUUGUAUUGUAGGUGGCAAAACCGACUAUGUGCUACACAAAUUAGAAGCAAUGGAUGAAGCAAACUUGGGAUACAACUAUAGCAUUGUAGGAGGAACAGGGUUGGAUGAAAGUUUAGAAAAAGUUGAAUUCGAGACAAGUAUUGUGGCUGGCUCUGAUGGUGGAUCCAUUGUUAAGAUUUCAGUGAAAUACCACACCAAAGGUGAUGCAACUCUAUCUGAUGCAGUGCGUGAUGAAACUAAGACCAAAGGAACUGGACUUAUCAAGGCCAUUGAGGGAUACGUUUUGGCAAACCCUAAUUAUUAAGUAAAAUGUAUACUUGGUUGUGUUGUGUCAUACCAAUAAUAAUUGAAGUUUAUGAUAUGGUUGUUUGAUUUAUACAUCACGAUUUCUAGCUUAUACAUGUGUGUGGGCUUUGUUGUUUAAUUACAAAAAUCUAUGUGUUGAUGUUGAGGUUUUGUACCAUCUAUAAUUCUGUAAUAAAUAAUGAAGAAUUUUCUAGCACUUUUCAUUCGGUAUUUUAACUUUAUAUGCCUUGACCAUUAUUGGUACACCAAUUUCCUUUCCUCUUGUUAUCCUUUUUUUUUCUUUCUUUGGAUUUAUUUUUGACUUGUAACACAUAAAAACUCAACUCAUCACUAGCAUGCUUUGAAUUUUACUAUGGCUGAGAAAAAGUAAAAACAUAAUGUGAGUAUGAUAGAGAAAGUUGUCAUAUAAUGGUUAUAUAAAUAUUAUUUCUCUAUCAUAAAUGUAAAGUGGAAGAUAUUGAAUUGAGAGUGAUGAAAUUUGUAUGGGUCUUGUUAACGAGUGCCCCCGAGGGCACUCUUUAAGCAUACUAAAUUAGAAAAUUAUUCUUUAAAAAAUUCAAAUAAUUCAAUUUCCAAUGCAUUGAAUACAUAACUUUUCAUAAAAAGUUACUAUUUAAGACCCUUAAAGAGUGUCCCCAGGGCACUAGUUAACAUUUCUGAAUUAUAGUAUUAAUUAAGAUGUAUAAUUGAAAAAAGAUAGUUAAUUAAUAUUAUAUUAAAAAGUGAAAUUGAUCAUUCAUUUUAGAUCUUUCUUCUUUUUUACAAAUAAAUUACUUAUUGUGGAACAUGAGGAGUAUCAUUUAUGCUCAAACUAAUCAUGCAAACUCUAAUAUAUAUAAACAAUUAUAAAUCAAAUAGACUUCAAUUUGAUAUUCCUUGCACUCGAAUAAUUUGGUAAGAGACAAAUUAAAUAAAGGAAUUUAAGUUUUUAUAAAUAAUCAACAUGUUAUAAGAUACAAUUGUUUGAAAAAGAAGAAUGGUGGUUUGCGGGUUAGGGUCUCUUAGUUAAUCAUCUAUUUCUGUUUCAUGUUUUUUUUUUUAAUAAUUUAUUUCUGUUUCAUGUUAUUUACCAACUUUAUAUUAGUUUUUUUGUAACUUUUUUAGUACAACUUGUGCUGAAAAGAUUUUGGUUAAUGAUAUUCUAUUUUGACAUGCUAAAAAAAAUGAUGAAUGUGAACCCGUUAAAUAAGUAAACGAUAUAGUACAUAGGUUGCAUAUUUUUAAACUUUGCCGUCUUUGAAUUGAAUUCUUGAUGCUUUUGUCCAAGUCAAAUUUCGAUUUUUAAUUCCUUUGCCCAUCUCUUCAUCGGCCAAAACUUCUGAGCUAAUAAGUCAUUGAUCUAUAUCUAUAUAUCUAUCUAAAGAAAAGUCAUUGAGUUGAAAAUAUCAUUUUGAAGAUAUGCUCUACAAUUUAUGGUUUUGAAAAAUAAUACACGCUCUCUAAUAUGGACAGCUUUGUUUUACACACUUAUUAAUCCUACUUAUUAAAGGUGCUACUAGCUAGUAACAGAUGGGAAACUUUUUGUUUCAAGUUUACCAAAUUUAUUUUUGGUGAUAACAUUUCUUGGAACAUAAAGAUGAGAAUUUUAUUCUAAAAUAUUUAGAAAAAAGAUGUUUGCUUAACAUUAUAGUAUUCUCAGAAACCAUAAAAAUAAGGAUUAUAAUAGAUAAUUACACAUGAAUCUAUUCCCAUGUUCAUGGGAACUUUAUUCCCACUAGUUUCUGUGAGAAAUUUUUUCCAUUCCCAUAAACAUUUUAUACCUGCGAAUAAAAUUUAAUAAAUUUGUAACAAACAUAGACAUGCAUAUGUCUAUUGUUUUAUUCCCAAAAAUCUACAUAGAUAACUUGAAAUAAACGUACCCUUAAAUUUAAUUAUUUACUGAAAAGAAAAAUGUGAUAAGGAAUCUGUUUCUACACCUCCAGGAAACACUAUCUCUUUUUCUUUUACGGAUCAAAGCUACAUUAUUUAGUUCCGUAAAUACAAUUUGAAUGGUAAAAAAUUUAAAGAUAUUUGAUUAAUUGGAGUGCGAGUUUGAAUAUAUAAUUCUUCACUUUAAAUGUUUUAAAGUAGAAUUGAUUUUUUUUGUAAAAUUAAUUCUACUCAAAGCUAAAUGUCGAGGCACGAAUAUUGUUCAAUUCACUUUUACUUAAAUAUAAUAAAACAUAUAUUAUUUUACAUUUAAUCAGAAUUAACUGUACAAAAUUAAUUCAUUUAGAAUCAAAUUUUUGUUGUGUAGCAUAAACAAACACACACUAAAUUACGUAGUUUGAUUUCUUUAUUAAAAAAAAGAAAGAGUAAAAUGAUUUCAUAUUUUGUCUUCAUUCCCAUUAGUUUGUUAUUGUCUUUGUAAUAAAAAAAUUAAAAAAAAUAUUUUUUUUCACUACGUAAAAACUUCACGUAGAUCUUUUUAUCAUUAAUUAAUUCGUGCGUGGUUAUGUACGACUGAGUCUCCUUAUUUUAGGAUAACGACUUCAAAUCUUUCAUACAUCAAUCUUCACCAAACUUUAACGGUGUGUUUGGAUGUAAGAUGAAAAUGAAAAGUGAUAAACAGAUGAGAAAGAGUGUGAGAAGAGAGAAAGCGAUAAGCAAUACAAUAGAUUUGUAGCAUUGAUUAGUAUAAAAAUGAGAAGAGAAAUAUAAAAAAAAAAAACAGAUAUUUUAUUCUUUGAAAAAGACAAAAACAACCUCCAUUAAAAAUAAAAUAGUAAAAUAUCGCUACUAUAUUAUGCUAUCUAAAGUUUGUCAUAAAAAUUAUCCUAUAUUAUAAUUUAUUAGUAUAAUAAUAAAUCUCAUGAAAUAAAGUGAAAAAUUAUUUACUUUUUCAUUGUGCUGUAAAAAAGUACUCCAUGUUAAUCAAUGUAUAAAGCAUUUAAAAGAAAGGGGCAUAAUUGGAAAUAUGCAAUAAAUAGGUUGCUCUAUUGGACUUUCAGGAUUGAAAAAACUGUCGGUACCAAAAAUUAAUUCGAACUUGAAUUAUUUCUUUUAACGCAACUUUAGAUGGCUCCUUGUGACUUUAAUUAAUAAUAUCAAACAUUUAUCUUGUAAAACAAGGUAGGACCUACCAAUAUGUCACUUAGUCAUGGAUUUCUAGACUAAUUCACAUUUUUAGAAUCGAAUUCAAGAUUGUCGACAUCACAAAGAGAAUUGACCCAAUAAAUAAAUAUCAAAAUACUUGAGCUAAAUAAAUAAGUGAGAUUUUGCAAACAAGGUAGGUCCUACCAAAGUUCUAUAAAUAGUAACCCUCAAUGUGUUAUAAACCGCAUCACAAACUAAAAUAGUAGCAUUAUUCAUAUUAUACAUUAAUUUCUCCUUUCAUUUACUUAUUGCAUAUUGAUCCUUUUUAUCUUGAUAUAUAUCAUGGGUUCUUUUGUUUUCAUUGAUGAACAUGUCUCAACUGUGGCUCCAGCUAAACUUUACAAAGCACUUGCAAAAGAUGCUGAUGAAAUCAUCCCAAAGGUGAUUCCAGCUGCUCAGAGUGUUGAAAUUGUUGAAGGAAAUGGAGGACCUGGCACCAUUAAGAAGUUAUCCAUGUCUGAAGGUAAUUGAUUAAGAUUAUAUAACAUUUACACAGUUGAAUUUUUGGGACUAGAGUUGAUUGUUGGUAUAUUGAAAUGAGAUUCAACAAUCAAGUAAUUAACGAUAUCCAGUUACGUUCAGAUUGAUCAAUGACUUAAACAAUUUUUAGUCAAACUUUAUUUAAAUUUGAGGGAACAAAACUUAUAUAAAUUAUGAUGGUUUAAUUGUAGGUGGUAAAACCGACUUUGUGCUACACAAAUUAGAAGCAAUGGAUGAGGCAAACUUGGGAUACAACUAUAGCAUAGUAGGAGGAACAGGAUUGGAUGAAAGUUUAGAGAAAGUUGAAUUUGAGACAAAUAUUGUGGCUGGAUCUGAUGGUGGAUCCAUUGUUAAGAUUUCAGUGAAAUAUCACACCAAAGGUGAUGCAGUUCUAUCUGAAGCUGUACGUGAGGAAACUAAGGCCAAAGGAACUGGACUUAUCAAGGCCAUUGAGGGUUAUGUUUUGGCAAACCCUAAUUACUAGCAAAUUAAACAUUUGCUUUAAUAAUAAUUAAAGACUAUGAUAUGGUUGAAUGUGUGUUGGAUAUUUUGAGGUUUGAGUGUUGUUUUGAGUGUUUAAAAACAAAAACCAAUGUUGUGUUGGUGAUGAGGUUUUGCACCAUCUGUAUUAUGUAAUAAAUAAUGCAAAAGAAUUUUCUAGCACUUUCCGUUAUUUUUUUAGAGGAAUAGCACUUUACAUCAUUUUAAUUUAAUUUAGGAUAACAUCAAACUAAUAGUGCAUGUGGUUUUCAAUUGGUUGAAUUUUAAACUAACACUGUCUACGGUUCGAUUAUUUAAACAGUUUGGUUGAGUUUUGUCUUGAAUUGAUUUGAGCAAAUUAAAGCAAUUGAAUCAUGUUUUGAAAGUCUCAUCAUCUUGUCCAAUAUGAUUUUUAAAACAAAACCUACUGGUUUGAUAAACCGUUAAAAGGGAAUUAGAAUACAUCGAAACAACACAAAUUUUUAUGAUACUAAAAUUAAAGAAGAUAAAAUUGUGAAUACCUAUAAAAGUCUCACAACACCCUAAUUUCUUUUUUCUUUUUUAAAACACAUGUAAGUUAAUAACAUAAAAGGAUAAAAAUACCUAUAAAUACGACAAAUAAAGCAACUAAAAUACUAUAUGCAGAGCCUACCCAACAUUUUGGUAGGCCUAAAGUGAAUUUUUUAUUGAUGCUUUUUAAAGUAAAAUAUUAAACUUUGUUGAACCCAAGGUUUGAACCAAAGAUGCAGAGGAUUUGAGACCUCUUCUUGACGAACUAAAGUUAUGCAAGCAUUUAUAAUUAUUUUAUCAUAUUAUGUAUUUAUAUCUAAAGUUGAUAUGGUCAUUGCGUAUCCACGAGGAUUUGAGGCCUCUUUGUUGCUGCCUACCCACGAGGUUUAAUUUGCAAAAUCAUGGAGUCCAUUGUCUGUCACUUGUGUGGUUUGUAAUAAUGAUUUGAAAGAUCAAAUGCACAUGUUUAUGCACUGUAAUUUUGCUACUGAUUGUUGGAAAGAAGUAAAUCUUUGGGCAAGAUAAAGUCAUACAUAACGUCAAAUGAUAGUUUUUCAUCCAUUAUCUUUGAUAUUCUUGUAGCUAUUUAUUGAGUGUUUGGCAUGCACGUAAUGCUUGUUUAUGGGAGGAAAAACUUGUCGAUGCACAUACAUCUUGCGUCCUGGAAUUAGAUACAGUUCGAGAUUACGUGUGGUGUCAUCGUCUCAACGAUGUUGUGCAGUCUGCUACUCCAACUUAGUCCAAACUGCAGGCAGAUUGGAUCAAGUCUUACAUCGAUUGUGUUCUUUUUGAAGCUGAUGGAAAAUUUAGUGUUGGUAUCUGUUUUCGAGACCGCCUUAUCCAAGAACUAUUCCAUCCUAUAGCAAGAAGCUUAGAUAUUAUCUUAUAAAGCACAUUACAUAAUGAAAUUACCCUCCAUUCCUUCAUACUAGUUGGUUUUGUCACAUUUAGGAAUAAGGCAAAUAUUAUUAUCAUUCAAUUAAUGUGCUCGGAAAAUAACCUAUAUAUAACCACAUAUUCACAACUUCAAAAAUUUCAUCACUACAAAGAUUCCAAAACCUUGAAAAAAAAAACCCGGAUUAAAACCAUGAAGACUCGAUGACUUAUUUGAAUGCAUUUGAAAUAACGUAAGUUUCAGCUCCUCUUUAGUAAACGGUGCUAAAAUAAGGUUGUUGUUUGCAUCGGUUAUCUUUGGUUGAAGGUGACAACUAGGCUACCCAUGAAAGAAUGAUGGGUAAUUUACCCUAACCAAUACACAUUAGCCACAUAAGCACAUAUUCAUGAACUAUCUUGACCCCACAAAUAAAUUGUUCAUUUUCAUUGGUUGGUAGGUAAAUUACCCACCAUUCUUCAAAAGUAAUUUAAAAAGAACCUUGAUGGAAUCAUACCAAUCAUUAAAAUUUUCAAUAUCACAAUCAUUUACCGCCUCCUUAAACCCAAGAUAAAUCCAAUUAGGAUGGGAAUGUUGGCCUCGAAUAUUCUCUUGAGAUAAAAUAUCAUUAAAAUUUCUUAUGAUACACCAAGGCAUAUGAGACAUGUCCCUCAACUCUCUGAGACAUGUCCCUCAACUCUCUGAGCAUAUUCCAAGAAUCUCUUCUUCGACCUCCUUUUGGGUAACCAUAAAAAUCAGUUAACAUUGAUUCUCUUUUUAUUGUAUCUUCCACAAUUAAAUUGAUAUUGUUUAUAGAGUAAUUAAGAAUUUUACACAAGCUAUUAACUUUUCAUAUCACUGCUAUCUAGGGGUGGGAUUAGGUCGAGUCGGGCCAAACUUUACUUAAAUAGGUCAGAUCUAAUUUAAAAAGUUAAAGCCUAGGCGACCUAUUAGCUUGUCAAAGACUUUAUUUUAAGUCUAAGCUUUUUAAAAGUCUAGCCUAAUAUUGUCAAAAAGCCUAGUUUAUGCUAAGAAUUUUAAAUAGAAUAUCUGUUCUAUUUAUAAAAAGGCUAAUAAACAUAUAUUUCUUAGAAGAUUAAUAUGCCAAUAAAAUUUUGUAGAGCUUGUAUAUCAAUUUUGUUUCACUCUGUAAGCAUAUAUUGCAUGUAAAUCGAAUAUAAUUUGGUAAGGCCUCUACAUCAAUUGUAUAGAGGCUAUUAGCCAUAUAUGGGCCGAAAAUUUAUUAAUACAAUGGAGGAGUAUAUAUAUAUAUAUAUAUAUAUAUAUAUAUAUAUAUAUAUGAGGAGGGAUAUUUUGACUUCAAGAGUAAGUUUAUAGACUUAUUCCAAAUCUCCACCUUUCAUCUUAUUUUAAUCUAAUAGUUUAAAUGUGAGUUUUAAUUGUUAAUCAUGUGACCAUUUUUUUGGAUCUCAUUCUUAUAAAUAUUUUCUCCAUUUAAUCUCCCUUAUUAAUUAAUGUAAUAAAUACCUCCCCAAUUUUAUUUUAUUUUUUGGCGCACCUUUGCCAAUUCAAAAAGUGUUUUUUAAUCUUUUUCUCCAACAUUAGAGCAAGGUUGCAGUUUGAAAUAUAAAUUAAAAUGUAAGCUUUCCACUCUCACCUCUUGAACCUAUGGAUGAGAAGAUUUUUUUUAUUGAAAUGUAAAUCAAAAAGGAAAGAAAUGAGAUUGAGAGCCAUCAUGUAGAAUUGAGGUUGGAGUGAAACGGAGAGCCAUCACUCUAUAUCCUAUUGUGAUUUAUAUGAUUAUCCAAUCAAAGAAAUUGGGUGUAUACAAAAUCAAUUGGGUGAGUUAGGGUACAAAGCAUUAGGAGGAAAUUUUGUUGUUUUCUGAGAGUUAAAAUAAAUAAAAAAGUAAUUAAGGGAUAAAUGAAAUUUGUUUUAUGAGAAUAAAAUAAAAAAACUUAAAAGUGUGUUUAUGAGAGAAAGGAAAUUUGAUUUAUGAGAAUUAAUUAAGGGAGAAUAAUUGGAGAAGGUAUUUAGAUCCACAAAGAUGGUCAUAUGAUUAACAAUUAAAACCCACAUUUAAGCCAUUAGAUUAAAAUAAGAUGAAAGGUGGAGAUUUGGAGUAAGUCUAUAAACUUACUCUUGGAGUCAAAAUAUCCUCUCUCUCUCUCUCUCUCUCUCUCUCUCUCUCUCUCUCUCUCUCUCUCUCUCUCUCUCUGUAUAUAUAUAUAUAUAUGAGAUAUGAGAUAGAAUCCGUUGACACUUUAUAUUGACACCAAAUCAUAUCCCUUGAUUUCAUUUGAUCCAAUAGCUCCUAUUAAUUCACUUAACCUUGUACCUAUGUGUGAUGCACUGAACCACACCGUCGUCUUCAUUCUCACGUUAUACGUACGCCGUCUGCUAUCUGCAGUUUUCGUUCAUCUCUUCUCCCCUUGCACACCUUCACAAAUGCUUCAUCUAUAUUAUGUGUUGCUCCUAUCGAAAUUAAAACCCACUAUUCAAUUAGUGGUGGAUAUGAGUUAAAACCUUGUACGCUAAUUCUUCAAAUGGAUCCUCUAAGAUUAAUUCCUCAAAUUUUUUGAUUAGAUUUAUGAAAUCAAUAAUAAUUGGAUGACGUUAGAAAACCGAUGGACAUUAUUUAUUGAUUUGCUUCAAUUUGUGCAAUUUUAGGUGAGAAAAAGAAAUUGCAUAUCAGAAUGCAUAAUAUAAAAUAAAAAAUUGUGGGUUUGGUAAAAUGAAAAACUAUGUAAAUUAAAAUGAAAACCAAGAGUUGUUUCCUUUGUUUGGGUAUGGACAAGGAAGUAGCCAAGAUACAAGAGACAACAUUUUUCCAUUGUUGUUCCUGUAUACUUUGUUCAGCAAGAUUGAAAAGGAACAAAAAGAAAAUAAGAGUGCACAUUACAGUGAAAAAGGCCUAUGUUAGUUGAUUUAGUAAAUAAUUAUAAGCCUGUUACAGUGAAAAAGGCCUAUGUAAGUUGAUUUACUUUUUUUAUUCUGAUCUAUUUAAAUUAAUGGUUUUUUUAAAAAGCUUGAAUCUGACUUAUUUACUAAACAAGCUAAACCGGUCUGGGUUUUAAGUAAGUCGAGUUAUAAGCCCCUAACAAACGGUCUGGCUUAUUUUAGGAUUUAGGGUUUACCCAAAUGAUCCCUCCACUUCUCCCUUCAACAUAUAUAGCACAACAAGAAUCAAAACCAAACCUAACUCGUAAGAAUUCUAUAGUCAUUGCUUUUGCCAACGUCUCGUACAAAUAAAGAAUAUCAAGAUUUUAUUUUUGGUUAAUAAAAAGUAGUAAUGCUAAAGGAAGAGACAACCCCAAAAAAAUUAGCUCUAAUAUUUAAUGUAAUACUACUAUGCAUGUAGUAGGAAUAAAUGGGAAACGUAUGCUCUUUUUUUUUUUUUUUGUUACCUGGGAAACGUAUGUUUGAUUGUUUAUUGAAUAGUAGAAAAUUGUUGUAAAGGAAUUCUUUUUUCGACGUUAUAAAGGACUCUCUUUAUGCAUCUCCAAUAAACACUAUCUAUACUUUGUAAAAAGAAUACAAAAAUAAAUGUGAGCAUUGAUAGGGAUAUGAUAGCAUCUAGGAAUCGGGUUCCACCUUAGUUUCUUCUCCUUUAUCCAUUACUAACAUAUGAUUUAUGGUCAAUUUUCAACCUCAAAGAGCAUUCCUUUAAUAAAUAGUUUCCCGUUUUUUUUUUUAUUAUUUAAAUAAUCGAUUUUCACAUCUAUUUAGUUUAUUUCUCUAAUUUUUUCAUCAUCUUAGUGCGACGUUAUUUUGUUUGUCGUCUUUGUGUGACAUUGUUUAUCUUUAUUGUCUUGUUUAGAUGUUUGUUUCAUUCAUAUUGUCAUAUCAAGUUUGAUGCAGUGCAUGUUCAAUCAAUGAUUUAAAAAUUGUCAACGUUGUUGUGAGUUUGUUCGUGGAUUCAUCAAUUUUGUUUUUAGCAAAUUCAUAUUGUAUCGGUGUACUCUAUCAAUUUGAAUGAAUAAUAUCAUUUAUUACUAAAAAAAAGUACCGGGUACAAACUUUAAAUUUUCCGUUUAGUUAUCUUAAAGUGAAUUUUUAGCCACUAAAUUAUUUUAUUAAAAAAAAUCACUAUAUAUAAUGAUUAAAAUUAUAAGCGUAAUUUCAGGAGUGAACAUAGACCUUUAUUCAAAAGGGAAUGAACAUAGACGUAUAAUUAAAGGAGAACGAUAUUUCAUUGUCAUUAAUUUGUUUAUUGUCACUACGUGAAUAUUUUCUAAUUAUUUCGUGGGUGACUGCGACUGAGUCUAUUCAACAAAAAACAAAAAUCUACCGACUAAGUCUUCUUAUAAUUCCAAGACAUCGACUUUGAAUUUUUGAUACAACAAUGACCCAAUCUCACCCAAUCUUAAGAGUACUAUCAUAAUUCAUACAAAAUAGGUCAUAUUUUUCGGUCCUUAAAUAGGUCAUAUUAUAUUUUUCGGUCCUUAAAAAAAAUUGAUAUUUGAUUUUUUAAAAUUAAAUUAACAAGGGUAAAAUUGAGAUAAAAAGUGAUAAACUGUAAGUUAUAAGAUAUUUGAAGCAGCUUAAGAAAAAUGGUAUAAGCUCGAAAAAGAAAGUUAUAACUCGUGAGAAAACUUGUUUGCUAAAAAAAUAAAAAAUAAACUCGUGAGAAAAAAAAUUGUUAACAGACAUGUUUUAUCUUAGUCAUAUGAGAUCAUAAAUUAUAAAUUAUUUGUUAUAAGUGACAUUAACCCAAGAACAAUUUCGUAAUAGUGUAUAUAAAAUAAAAUCAUUAAUUAAUAUGGUAAUUCAGAAUAUUUUGAUUGAUUUUGGAUGUAAAACUGUUUUGGACCGUUAAUCUACCACUAUUAAACUCUUAAUACAUUACCAAUUUUUGUUAAUAUGCAAUUGCAUAAUAAAUUAUUUGUGAUUAAGAUAUCAACUGUUAAUUUCUCAAUUUACUGAUUACACGCUUUAGAAGAAUAAGUAAAUUAGCAUUUUAGUUCUCGGAAUAAUAAAGGACAAAUUAUUUAUUCACUAAAAUUUGUGAAAUAAUAAUUAAUCAAUUAAAUAAAAUAAUACUAUCAAUUAAUUCAGUUCCUCAUAUCUUAUGAAAAAUAAAUCAUCAACAUUUAUAAAAGAUUUGCAUGUUGACUUUUUUAAUUUGUAAAGUUCUAACAUAAAUAACGUGGUAAUUUGAAGUUCGAUAUAAUGUUAAGUGAAGUAUGAUAAAUGAUUGUUUUAAGUCAUGAUUCGAACUCAGUUUUUUUCGAACAAUUUAUCUUAAACAAAAGUUAAGUGAGCACUUCAGCUCAACCGCUCGACUGAAUUAUAUAUUAAUUUAUGUUUUUUAUACAAAAAUAAACGAUAUUCAUUCAUUUAAAUUGAUAUAGUACAUCGAUACAAUACGAAUUUAAAAUUGCUAAAAACAAAAAAGGAUGAAUCUACGAACAAACUCAGAGUAUCCAUGUUAAUAGCAUAAAACGGUAGAGUAUAUAUGCCUACAAAUAUACCUAUCAAGCCACUGAAAUACUCAUGUUUCGGAUCUGCAACGUUGACAAUGCAAAAGUCAUUGAUUGAAUCUGCAUUUGAUCAAAGCUAAUCUUUCAACCUGAAUCAAAUAAAAACCGCAUUAAGACAUGAAUAAAAAACACACCGCACAAAGACGAGAAAUCAAAAUAAAUAAAGUUGUGCUAGAUGACGAAUUCACAAAACCAACAAAAGAAAGGUGAAAAUAUGUGAAAAAUUACUUAUUUAACUAAAAGAGAAAGAGAAACAAUUCAUAGGGGUGAUUUCGUGUCAAAAUUGAUAGUAAGUCACACCUUUUUGGUAGAUGAAGAAGAAAAAAAGUCGUGUGACUAGGGUUUAGGAAAGGAAAAGUGAGAGAAUUUCUACCUUAUAUAAUUGAUUUUUUUAUGUUUUAAAACCAAGACAUUUUCUACACGCGACUACGACAACUAAUCUCUCAAUGUAAACGAAAUUCAUCGUAGAAGUUGUCAUCUCUCAAUAUAUAUUAUCUAUACACAAUGAUCAACAGAUUAAAAUAAUGACCACAUAGCCGAGAGACUCAAAUAAAUAUUCAUCAAUUUUGUUACACCAUAUUGGUAUAUAACUUUCAACUAUGUGGUGUUAAAGUCUGAAAACACGACUAAUUAACUAAUACACUUUAAAGUACUAAAGUAUUACUAUUUAACGAAUUUUAGGACCCACCAUGACACCAUUGCAAUAAUUUCAAUUGGAAAAAUAUUUAGCACCGUUUGGUCAGACUUUUUUCGGUCUAAAAAUUAUUUUAAAACAAAGUUAAAAUAAAACUCUUUAAGGAAAAAGUUAAAGUUGUUUGGUUUCUUUAUUUUUUUUAGUUUUUUUUUGAACAAGCCAAAAUGGAAUUAUAUAAACAAAAAGGCAGUCCCAAACGCACAAGGUGUGCCCUAGCGACUACCUCCAAAACCAAGAGUUACAAGAAUUACAACCAAGCCACAACAGAAAGACAUUAGCCAAUACCCAAACAAACAAGAGGGUUUGACCACCACUGCUGAGUUCCAAAAACAAAGGUAGCUUUUUUAACUUUAAGUCAACCUAAAGACAACAUCUUAAUCUUAUCUAAUAAACAAGGGAUGGGGGUAACAACAUGAUUAAACAGACGGUUAUUUCGUUCAUUCCACACAACCCAGGCACAAAGAAGCCAAAUAAGUUGCAUAAAAGAACGUCUAGCAACACCACCACCUGUCAAAUGAGUAAACUGUAAAAAAUGAUCGGAAAUAUUAUAUGUGUCCACCCCAUAGCAACCAAUCCAAUCACGCACCAGAUGCCACAGAGAGCCAAAAGUAUUACACAAUAAAAAGAGAUGUUGCACCGAUUCAGGAUGACCACAACCAGUAACACACGAGGACAUGUCAUGCGACAACACCCGUCUAGCAAUCAAAUUAGUCCUUGUUGGUAAACGAUCUCGGAUGAGCCUCCACACGAAAACGAACACCUUCAAGGGAACCUGUUUGUGCCACACCAAAUCCAAAGCAUAGUCCGCUACCUGAGGAACCUGAGAAGUCAACAAACUAUAUGCACCAUGAACAGUGUAACCACCAGAUGGGUCCGGAAGCCACACCCAGCUAUCUGAAACAUUAGGAUCCAAAGAAACAUCAAGAAUUAAAGCCCUGCACUCCUCUAGCAAGUCCUCAUCCCACUGCCAUAACCUACGUCUCCACCUCCACACAUCCCCCCACUGCUCCGAAUCAACAGAAAGCAAGUCCGCCACGAAUAUAGACUUAUUCUCUGUUAACUCAAACAACCGACUAAACCUCACACGAAGAGGAGCCUCCCCUAUCCACCUAUCGAACCAAAAUGAUGUAUCUGCCCCAUCACCAACUCUCCUCAACACCUGAUCCUCAAACCAGCCGCUACCACCAACACCAACCCUACCCCUAAGACGACUCACCUCCGACCACCAACAAGAAACUCUCCGGCCCCCAACCUGCCACCUAAUUCGCCAUAUCUGGCAACUAAAACCCUAUACCACAAAUCACCUCUAUCAACCAACAACCUCCAACACCAUUUCCCUAACAAUGCUAUAUUAAACUCCUUCAAUCUCCUCACCCCCAAACCGCCACACUCCUUUUUUAAACAAACAGUUUGCCAACUUAACCAAGAUAUUUUCCUAUUAUCCUCACUCCCCCCACUGCUCCGAAUCAACAGAAAGCAAGUCCGCCACGAAUAUAGACUUAUUCUCUGUUAACUCAAACAACCGACUAAACCUCACACGAAGAGGAGCCUCCCCUAUCCACCUAUCGAACCAAAAUGAUGUAUCUGCCCCAUCACCAACUCUCCUCAACACCUGAUCCUCAAACCAGCCGCUACCACCAACACCAACCCUACCCCUAAGACGACUCACCUCCGACCACCAACAAGAAACUCUCCGGCCCCCAACCUGCCACCUAAUUCGCCAUAUCUGGCAACUAAAACCCUAUACCACAAAUCACCUCUAUCAACCAACAACCUCCAACACCAUUUCCCUAACAAUGCUAUAUUAAACUCCUUCAAUCUCCUCACCCCCAAACCGCCACACUCCUUUUUUAAACAAACAGUUUGCCAACUUAACCAAGAUAUUUUCCUAUUAUCCUCACUCCCCCCCCCCCCCCAAAAAAAAAAAAAAUUAAUAAACAAAGAUUCAAUAGAGGAGAUUAUACCUGAUGGAGCUUUGAAGAAGGAAAGUGCAUAGACAGGCAAAGAGGUCAGGACAGAUUUGAGAAGAACCAAGCGACCACCAAAAGAUAGAAACCGACUAUUCCAACCUGACAGUCUAGAUUUAAUACGAUUCACAAUAGGUUCCCAGAAACACAAUCUUCGAGGAUUACCACCAAUAGGCAUACCCAGAUACAAGAAAGGAACGUUACCUACUUUACAACUCAACACGGAAGCAGCCUCAUGUAACCAAGACGACGCAAUAUUCACCCCAACAAGCAUACUCUUAUGAAAAUUCACUUUCAACCCCGACAUAGCCUCGAACAACACAAGGGCCGCCCUUAAAGCACGAACAUUAGCCCAACUUUUAGUUCCUAACAACAAAGUGUCAUCAGCAAAUUGGAGGUGAGAUACAACAACCGGAUUAACCACCCCAAUGCUAUAGCCAGAGAACAGUUGAGCCUCAACCAAAGAUUUCAUCACAACAUUAAGACCCUCCGCGGCCAACAAAAACAAAAAAGGAGACAAAGGGUCACCUUGUCUUAACCCUCUCAUCAACGGGAAUUCAUCAGUUGGACUUCCAUUAACUAAGACAGACGCUGUGGCAGUGCUAACACACUCUUUGAUCCAAUUCCUCCAACGGGAAUUCAUCAGUUGGAAUUCAUCUUUAAAAGUUGUUUGACAAAAUAUUGUAUACCAAAUUUUGUUAUAAGAAUAUCAUAUUUUUGGUGUCAUUUAAAAAGAUAAGAAUUUAUAUUAUAUGAUAUUAUAUUUGUUACAUUGUUGGUGUCAUUGAAAAAGAUAUGUUUAGUUUUUUAAUAAGAAAAAGAUAUGCAUAGUUUGUUACAACAUAAAUGUGUAAAGUAUAUAUAAGUAUAAUUUUUUAGGUAUCUAUACUAGUACUUUUAAUUAAAAUCAAAAUUUUAUAAAAAUAAUAAUUGUACGCAUUGCGCAACACUGAAAAAAUUAUACCCAUUAGCAUAACAAAAAAAAACAGACAUACAGACAUAAAAUAUUACUCUAAACGCUAAUGUGUGUGUGUAUAUUUGUGAGGUUGAAAAAAGGGAAUAAAAAUAUUUGGUGUCAUUCAAUGACAGCAUGAAUAAAAAUAUUUGUGAGGUUGUGAUAAUUAAACGAUAUUAAAAUUAAAUAUAUAAGUGAUAAAAAGAUAAUAAAACUCCUUCAAAAAUAGAUAAUUAAAUUGAUCCUCCUUUAAAAAAAAAUUAUAUGGACCGGUUCAAAAAAAAUUAAAUUGAAGAAAAAACAAAUUGAAAUAUAAUAUUAAAAAAUAAAAUAUAAGGUUGCUGCGUGAGUUGAAGAGGAGUGCUUGUGAAAUAAAUUACAAAGAAGUAGUUUUUUGAAGUAGCAUUCAACAACUUUUGGUUAAAGCUCAUUCCAUUCAAAUUUUAUGCAUUCUAAAAAAAGUACUUUUUUUCGAAGGUAUUUUAUUGAUAUUGUGUUUGGCGUAGCUUCUCCUUAAAAAUGUAGAAAAGUUGAAGAAAAAAAAAAAGUCGGGUCAAACAGUACUUUAAUAUACUCAAUUAAAGUUACUAAUGUACUGGCAAGUAACUUUUAGAGGAAGAUUUUCUUUUUUUAAGGAUUUUAGAGGAAGCUUAGCAACACACUUUUAAUAUACAUUUUUCUAGAAUUUUUUUUUAUUGAUUAAAAUUCAUAUAUAUCCUCAUAAAUCAUGUGGAUUUCAUAUAAUAUAAUAGAAGACACAAAUUUUAACCGACAAAUAGAGUGUAAAAAAUAGAGAAAUGAUAUUUGUACAACCACUUUGUGAUAAUUUUUGGACAAUUUUCUCUCUCAUACUCAUAUUAUAUUCUUACUCUCUUCUUUUUUCUCUCUCCAUUAUUUUUGACCAAUGAAAAGAGAGAAAAGAAAGAUUGUCAAAUAGGUUGUACCAAAUGGUUGUUCAAAUAGGUUGUACCAAAUGGUUGUUCAAAUAUCAUUUCUUUAAAAAAUAUAAGCAUUAAAGAGUUUGUUGUUAACAUUAUUUUAAUUUUUUUUAUGUAAUCCACACUUUGAGUCAUGGAGUGCUUUACUAAUUCAUUUUGUUUUUCGCAACCCAAUUCAAGAUUGUCUAGAAACAAAGAGGACUGACCUAAUAAAUAAAUAUUAAAAUAAGCUACUUGAGCUAAACAAUGAGAUUUCCAAACAAGGUAGGUCCUACUCAAGUUCUAUAAAUAGCAUCCCUCACCAUGUCAUAAACCGCAUCACAAGUUAUAUACUAGUUGUAUUUUUAUUAUAUACUUCUCCUUUCAUUUUCUUCUUGCAUAUUAAUCUUCUUUAUCUUAAUAUAUAUCAUGGGUGUUUUUACUUUCAAUGAUGAACAUGUCUCAACCGUGGCUCCAGCUAAACUAUACAAAGCUCUUGCAAAAGAUGCUGAUGAAAUCGUCCCAAAGGUGAUUUCUGCUGCCCAAAGUGUUGAAAUUGUUGAAGGAAAUGGAGGACCAGGAACCAUUAAGAAGUUAUCCAUUGUUGAAGGUAAUUAAGAGCAUAUACGACGUACAAAUAUAUAAUACUUAAGAUCAAAUGAUACAUAGUGUUCACGUAAAAUUGUUUUACACCGACAACCAAUCAAAUUUAUCAGUACAACAAAGAAUUGUGUAACUACCUUUUAUUUAAAAAUUGAUAAAUAUGAUGUGACAAAUUGAAGAGUUGUGAUUGAUUAAAUGAUUCACAAAUAACUAAGUUAAAUUCAUUAUACCAAAUAAAAGUAAGUUAAAUUCAUUAUACCCAAAAAAAAAAAGUAAGUUAAAUUCAAGUGUAUCAAAAAAAGUCAUUCAAAUCUAUUUGGAUAGUUAUGGUAGUAGCCAUUUAUGUUAUACUUUUAUUUUUAAAAUAG